This 254-nucleotide ribosomal RNA is filed under the name uncultured bacterium. RNAcentral describes it as "partial 16S ribosomal RNA". It matches the Rfam family "Bacterial small subunit ribosomal RNA", at positions 524 to 776 of the family's 1533-position model. The record is from RNAcentral. RNAcentral also lists the same sequence under 1 other name.
UACGGGGGGGGGCAAGCGUUGUUCGGAAUUACUGGGCGUAAAGGGCUCGUAGGCGGCCAACUAAGUCAGACGUGAAAUCCCUCGGCUUAACCGGGGAACUGCGUCUGAUACUGGAUGGCUUGAGGUUGGGAGAGGGAUGCGGAAUUCCAGGUGUAGCGGUGAAAUGCGUAGAUAUCUGGAGGAACACCGGUGGCGAAGGCGACAUCCUGGACCGGUAUUGACGCUGAGGCGCGAAAGCCAGGGGAGCAAACGGG